CCGUCGGUGUGGGUAACCACUGGCCCGGCGUGUUUGGGAUGGGAAAAGGUGGCGGGGGUUUAGUUGCGUCGGAGGAGGAGGAGAGGAGGGAGAGAAGGGGGCGGCGAUACCAGAGAGGUCUCCGUGUGGGGAGGUACCUAGCUUCGUCGUUUGGUCCUAGACCUACUCCUUCUCCUCUAGGCCCGCGGGGUAACCACCUAGCUGAUAGUGCUCGAGGAGGGCGGUACCUCCUCGUCGCUCCGGCCUCUAGGUCCGCCGCGUACGGAGUGCCCCACCCCCUCUCCGGACGUUGUCCCCGCUCCCCGUAGGUCCAGCUUCGACGUCGCGAGGUCAGCUACCCUAACGAGACAUGCCUUCCCCUCAACGGCUGCCGACUUCUACGAUGAGUUUCCUACUCGAGGCUCGCCGUACGUUCCGAUCGACUGACGUCAAACUAAUGGCUAAGUAGAUACCGUCGUGUCCGUCCGCAUAAUAGAACCUCCAACGAAGAAUAAAAAUGGCACCUAGUUCAAAGAAGUAAAGGAAACAUCGAUGGAGACGAGGUAAACAAAAUAUAUAGUACAUACGAAAUAUAUAGGAUACACGACGGUACUAGGAACGAAGUGACUAGUACAACUAAAAGAUCUAAACCGACCCACGGCACAAGAAAAAACCGGGAACAGGCGAAACUAGUUACACGAGACCCUAGACCGAGACACUGACACUACUACGUGGGCGUCCCUCCUCCGUUGUAGCUGCGCUACCGUGUCGUCUCCUCUGACCCGAACAACACCUUGAAGACCUCCGUCAUCCUGUACUACGGCGUGUAGUGUCUCUAGUUCUACCGGUACGCGUACGGCUACGGCGGGCGGCUGUAGCCGCUCUCGCAGUGGUGGCCGUUGCCGAGAUCACUGGAAAGGUCCUAGAAGAGGUACUCGAUGACCUUCCUGUGGUUGAGGUCGUAGUACAAGAAGUGCGGACCGGCGUUCUUCCGGUUCAACAAGCCGCUGUCGCUACUGCCGUACCAGUGGUCGAAGUCGUUGUAACUGAGGGUCCUUUCUUGUUCGUAGUUGUUCUCCCAUUCCUCCGACGUUCUGGAGUACUGGUUGUACCUGUUCCAGUAACACGCCAUGUCUUUGAAAUGAGACUUAAACAGUGAUGUCCAACGUACGUUAAAGUAUGACAAUCAAAGUCUAAAAGGUUAAAAGAGAUACGUAUAUCAUCUACGAAGAUACUUAGACAUGGGUAGAAACCAAGUAGAAUAAAUUAAGUCAAUUUCAAUAUAACUUUUAAAGGGUCAAGAGAAAAAAUUACAACAUGAAUGAGCCUCAGAAAGAGAGGACGAUCCGAUUAAAUGUCUCAAAAUGACUGGACGUAAGCGAAAUACAGAAAAGAAGCAAGUAAACCGCUUGAUUGAAACAGUAGGUAUCACAUUAAAGGAAAACCCGAGGGGAACGUGGUCCUUCUAUACAGUUCAAGAGACUUAGAACUUCACGGGUACCCGUAGUGUAAAUAAAUUAAUCAAGGUACAUCUCUAAGUUAGUAGAGUCACUUAGCAAAAGAAAAAAGGUUUACUUGACUUAACCCUAUCUAUCCAUAAUGAAAUUAAUAACACUAAAACCAAGUACAAUAAAGCACUUUCCUUGAUACCACCUACGUUUAAAGAACUACCUAAUUGAAAUAUAGAAGACAAAAGUUUGGUUCUAACACCACUUACCCACAACUAUACUCCACGUCCAACUGGUUGCCCACCUGGCCACGGCCGCACUCCUAUCCCGGCCACCUACCUUGUCUUCUGUCACCUGCUAUAACUGUAACCUCUUGCCCGCGUAGAGGUAUCCACCUUCAAAUAAAUGGACCUGCUACAACCCCUAUAAGACACCGGGUUCAAGGGAUGUCUUAUUACGGGUCAGAUUAGAGUUAUCACCCGUACUAUCGGAGUUUGAAGAGAAAAGUUGUAACUUCUUCGUCAAAUGAGCCUAGUCACCCGUACGUGAAUCUUUUUAUCGAUCUCUCAUGCUCCUCUAUAAGGACCUCAUUUAUUUACCGAACAAUACGACUAUGCAAUCUGUCUUCGUUUUACAAUAAAUAGUACGAGGACAACAUAGGUGCCUGUAUACUUAUGGAUGAAAGGGUGGCAACAUGUGUUUGACUAAAAUCAUAAACACGUAUGAGAAACAGAAUUCACCCGAAAGAGAAUUUUCCUUCCUCUUUAGAGUGUUCAAGGUAUCGGCGUCUCACUGAUCCAUCGUAUAUCCGGAAAGUUUAUGGGUACGGAGGUAGUCUC
Molecule: ribosomal RNA, 2266 nt
Filed under: Triticum aestivum (bread wheat)
Lineage: Eukaryota; Viridiplantae; Streptophyta; Magnoliopsida; Poales; Poaceae
Description: partial small subunit ribosomal RNA
Source: RNAcentral